Acinonyx jubatus (cheetah) is the source of this 7636-nucleotide long non-coding RNA. RefSeq lists it as uncharacterized. The transcript has 6 exons. NCBI's taxonomy places the organism in Eukaryota, Metazoa, Chordata, Mammalia, Carnivora, Felidae. The record is from RefSeq and is a predicted model, not a curated record.
CACCUGGACCUGAUCUCACGUCCCAGGCGCCAUAUUUGGUCUUCCCAGGGGCCACAUUGGUGAUGGUCCGCUUAGUGUUUUAACAGAAGUUCUAACUAUUUAUCAUGAUCCGGAAAUGUUCCCAGUAAAUGAAUGUUAUCUGUGGCUUGUAGCAGUGCCUGGAAAAAAGUACAUUUUAGGGGCGCCUGGGUGGCUCAGUUGGUUGAGCAUCCGACUUCGGCUCAGGUCAUGAUCUCACGGUUUGUGAGUUUAAGCCCCUCAUCGGGCUCUGUGCUGACAGCUCGGAGCCUGGAGCCUGCUUCGGAUUCUGUGUCUCCCUCUCUCUGCCCCUCCCCCACUAGUGCUCUCCUUCUCUCUGUCUCUCUUUCACUCUCUGUCUCGCUCUCUCAAAAAUAAACAUUGAAAAUAAACUUUUUUUUAAACUAAAAAAAAGAAACUACGUUCUCCAUUUGGAAAGAAAAUCCAGGCCAAGAAAAUGGUAUUAUCAGGUAGGGUUUGUUCUCAGUCCCUUUCCUCUGUGGAGGGGGGCUAUAGGGAUUGUGAGGGGAAUGAGGUGGGUGCAGUCAAAGGGGUCCUCAGUGUGGCCUUGGCAAUGGAGUUGAGACCUGCACUCCCUGAGUUUACUGAGGCCUUGCUUUGACUCAAGCAGAAGUCAGAAUCCAGUGGGAUACAGAACAGUUGGUAACGAGCGCUGCUUGGGGACUGGGUGUCAGUGCCUUGCACAUUCACGUGACAGCUGAGACAGAGGCCUGAGGUCCAGCCCUCUCUUGGCUGCCCUUGGCCCUUUGUAGGGUUUUUGUUUUAAAUAAAUGAUGUUGUCACAGUUUAAUUGUGAACUUGGCAACAAUGUAGCCACAUCUUUUUCAAGACUAAAACCAAAAAUGGUUUAAAAGGCACUAGGUGUCGUUGUCGUUGUCGCUGGCUUUCCUUUACCUCUCCUAUCUGUUUUCUCCCUCUUUCCUGUGUCGGAUGAUGGUGUAAAUAGCUCCCUUUGUCCAGUGGAACAAAGAAAAAAACCUGAUGGAAAAGACUGAGACAGAAGGAGACAGUGCGAGUCGGGGAGGGGCAGAGAGAGAGGGAGACACAGAGUCCGAAACAGGCUCCAGGCUCCGAGCUGUCAGCACAGAGCGGGGCUUGAACCCACGAACCGCGAGAUCGUGACCUGAGCCGAAGUCGGACGCUUAGUCGACUGAGCCACUUGGGCGCCCCAAUACAUUUCCGUUUUUGAAUGCAGCGCCAGGCCUUGGAGUUCAGGAGCCGUUUAACGUGAUGUUCUCCCUGAGCAGUGUCAAGUUACAUCUCCUAGGUUUCUGUAAUCUGUCCUGGGGAGGAGACGGGCCGUUCCCUUCACGGUCUGCCAUUUGCUGCUUCAACCGUGUCCACGCCGUGAGCGGCCUGGCCACCUCUCAGAGGACAUGCGGGUGUGGUGGCCCGCACGGCCAGGCUGCUGAUUUGUCCAGGUUGCAGGAACUGGGAUUGUUACACUGAAAUGAUCCGAAUGCUAAACGUUGCUGAAAUUGCACAAAGAGGCCUGGCUGGCCAAACAGAAAUGCGUGUGGCCCACAUGUAGCUCACGGGCCACGGUGUUCGGCCGCUUGCUGCGCGUGGACGUGGGAUUUCUCUCUGUGCCUCAUGUUCUGUCCCGACUCUUCUUGUUCUCUCAUGGAAAAUGGCAGAAAGUUCUGGAAACCUUCAUUUUGUGCUGCUUUUAAUUGUGAUAAAAUUUACAUAACAGAAAAUUCAUCAUUUGAACCAUCUGAAAGUCUCCAGUUCCGCGGCAGGAAGCACAUCUGCAGUCUGGUGUCACGACCGCCUCCGCCUGGUUCCGGAACCCCGUGUUACCCGGAACAGAAACCCCACACUCCUCUCCCCCGCCACCAGCUCCUGACAACCACUUACCAGCUUUCUGUUUCUACCACCAGGCCAGUGAAGAUAAAAAGCCAUCCGGGAAAAAAAGCCAUGUGAGCAUCCUGAAGCGUGAUUCUCGUGGCCAACUUUAUAAGCGUCACACGGGGCGUGAUGGUGAUUCUUGCGAAUACGAGAAGGCAUAGGAUGAACCUAGUAGAGACUUCUUCAUGAAGUAAAUGGGUGGAGCCCGGAUGGGGGUAAGGAACGGUGUUGGUGCUGGGGUGGCGGAGCCUGGGGGUGCCGUGCGGAUGAAGCCGGAGGUUGGUCGGGCCACUCCUGGCAACGGCCACGAGGGCUCAGACACAAGCCAUUUUCCGAGGCCGCAGUAACACACAGCCUCGGCUCGUGUGGCGCGCUGACGGGCUCUGUGUCCCGUCGGGUGCGGUGGGCACUGCGGGGGUGGCGUGUGCUCUCUGGACCCCUAUCCCUCCCUGUGAGCUCCAGCAGGUGGCCCGCCGGUGUGUUCCCUGUGUUCUGGGGCCGGGGUGCAGGAGGCCCUCAGUGGACAUGAGGUGGUCCCCGAGGACGGAGCCCUGCAGGCAGUGCCGCACAGCACCCACGGAGAGAGCACCACAGCAGUGAGGAAAGCACAGUACACAUGAUAACACAGUACACAAUUCACAAUACAAGAAGAAGGGACUUGCUGAAGGUCACAUGGCCACUAAGCAGAGGAUCAGACGGCGGCUGCCAGCAGCCACGUGUGGCUUUGAACCCGAGAUGUGGCCGGUCCCCAUGGAGCUGCGUUGUGGGCGUAAAAUGCAUGCUGACUUCGAAGACUCACUAGGAUACAAAGUAUGAACUAAUGCAUCAGUUUUUUAUGUUGAUGACACGUUGAGAUGACAUUGUUUUGGGUAUAUUGUUUAAAGUUAAGCAUGUUUUAAAAGUCCCAUUCACGUUCUUUUGGCUUCUAGACCAUUUAGAAUCCACAUAUGGCUGUCACGUUUGUGCUGGGUGCACCGACUCACACCCCGUGAAGGUGGGCGGGGGGCCCUAGUGCAGCCGUGGCCUUCGGGGUCCCAGCAGUCUCCGUGUCUCUUGGUAUGGGCUCUCGCCUUCAGCAGCUGUUUGGGGGACAUGACGUAAAUAUCCUGAGCCUUGUUUCUUUCAUCUGCAGAGCAGGGUCAAGUGUGAGGGUGCAUGUGAAGGGCCGUGGGGGGUGAAGGGUGUCUUUCGGUGUGCGAUCGAUUGCCUUUCCCUGACAGCUGAAGACGUUGAUCUUUUCGUGAGCUUGUUGGCCAUUUGUACAUCUUCUUUGGAGAAAUGUCUGUUCAGAUUCUUUGCCCAUUUUUCAUCGGCUUAUUUGUCAUUGUGGAGACGUAAUAGUUACAUGUUUUGGACGCUAGACUCUUGCCAGAUAAGGGAUUUGCAAACAAAAGCUCUGUGAGUUCAUUCCUGGACUCAGUUUUAGUCCGUUGAUCUGUGUGUGUGCGUCCUGAUGCCAGCACCACGCUGCCUCGACUACCGAAGCCUUGUAGUGUGUUGCGAGGUCAGAAUGUGUGGGUCCUCCGACUUUUUUUCUCUCAAGAUUAGUUUGGCUCUUCUGGGCAUCUUGUAUCUGGGUUGUCAGUUUCUUCAACGAUUUGGGGAUUUGGGUGAGGACUGGGUCACAUCUGCAGAUUGCUUUGGGGAGUGCCGCCGUCUUAGCACAAUGAAGCCCUUCCACCCCACGAACGUGGGAUGAGUUUCCAUUUGUUUAGACCUUCUUUGGUUUCUUUCGCCAGUGUUCUGUAGCUCUCAGUGUGUAAGUCUUUUGCUUCCUUGGUUACAUUCAUUCCAUUCAUAGAUAUUUUCUUGUUUGGUGAUAUUGGAAGUUGAGCUGGUUCCUAAUUUUCUAGUUGGGUUGUUUGUUAUAGGCGUAAACAGACAAAACCGACUUUCUUGUGUUGACCUUGUACCCUGAAACUCGGUUGAAUUCACUUACUAGCUCUAAUAGUGUUCUGAUAGAUGUUUUUGGGUUUUCCAUCAUGCCACCUGCAGAGAGAGUUUACUUCUUCCUUUCCAACUUGGAUACCUUUUAUAUCAUUUUCUUGCCUAUGUGCUCUUUGGUGAGUGUGAUUGUUUUUUUAUCACGAGUGUGUGGGAUUUUGGCAGGUGCCUUUUCUGCGUCUGUUUAGAGAUCUUAUGGCUUUUGUCCUGCCACACUGUCAUUCGUAGUCUGAACUUGAAAGCACAGUGACCUCAGCAUUCUGAUGAUGGAAUGGUGGGCCUUUGCUAGAACUGACUUCCGGGUUUUAGAAGGACGGCAGGGGAGAAUGUGUGCCAACCUUAAAUACGCCUGGCACACGGUGGGCUUGCGUGUCCGGCCAGUGGCUGCAUGGCUCCUUCUGAAUGGUGACCGCCACCAGGGCCUGCCUAGGUGCUGAGAGGCAGCUGCACAGCCGUGUGCCACAGCUUCCAGCCGAUAGGUGUCAGUGGGGACGGCAGAGCUGGAGGUUGCUGAGGGUGUGCAGGUGGCCUCGCGUCCACGGUGAGACCGGGCGUGCCGUGCGCUCUUGGCAUGGACACCCGCAUGUGUGCUCUCGCUGAGGUCAGCUGCCCGGGUGGCUACCGCGUUUUAUGGGAAAGCAUUGGACCGUGAAUGUACAACCAAAGAAGUUUCCCAAAAUAACUUCUUCAGCACCUGGCCGAAGGAGGUGGUGCAGGUGGCCGUGGCAGCCGUCCUGGACCCACCACACCAGGGCUGGGUGCCAUCGGCUGCUGCCUCUUGCAGCCUCUUGACCUCUGAGGCCACCCAGUUUUCUCAGGAAGGCCUAGUGCUCUUUCGACAUCCCCCUGCCUGGCCACUGUUUUUCAGGGGCGCUGGAGAGGCAGUCAGAGGGCGUGGGGCCACCUUGCUUCAGGUGCACCUGUGAGGGUGGCCAUGGCUGCCACAGAGCGGGGGAUCGCAGGAGCCCAGGAGGGGCACUUUCUGGCCCCCAGAAAACGGGAAGCUUUGGUGGGAAGCUCUUUGAAGAUAAGGUGCUACGUUAAGGUUUUAUUUCUUUUCUCAUUAAAAAAUAUUGAGUUAUGCGUGGGUCAGCACUAACCUGGGCAUCCAGCUGAAUCACAUUUUCCAUACGUGCUCGCCCAUGGGACUCCCCCAGAGAAAGAACAUUCCGGGCCUGUUCCCAGGCUUCCUUCGGCAGGACACCUGUGUGGCUCUGUCCCUGGAUUGCUGACCACUACAUGGUGGUGUCCUCCACUGCAUGAACACACGUGACUCCGUUUCCCUGUUGGCAUUCAGACCACCAGCCUGAACAAGCACCUCAGGACACGGUGGACAGACAGCCUGACCUCCAAAGAGCUCCGUGUCCGCAAGGCCAGCGUCUCUCUGCAGGAGCAGCUGUGGGCGCUGAGCAGAGGGGAGCACGUCCCCACCCGUCAAAGGAGAAGGUGUCCUGGCUGUGUGCUGGUGCACAGCUGCUUGGUCCGGGGGAGGAUGCUGCACGGCCAGCGUCCAGGGAAGGAGUGGAGCCUGUCUGGCCUGAGGGGACCGUCCACGAUCGAGCCGAGUAGGAAGGGUCGGGAUGUGCCUGUCUCAGCUGAGUGGCCAGCGGGACCCCAGGCCUGGUCGCCAUGCCUCCCUUGCGGGGCCUGCUGCUCCCGGGCGCCUCUGCUCAGCACCCCCUCCCUCAUCAUGUCAGUCUUGCAGCCGCACAACCUCGCCUCUCAGCACCGUUGUUUCUGAAGCGCUGCCACCCCCUCUGUGCGUCCUUCCCGAGCGCCAGCCGUAAUCCAAAGAAGACGGGGCGGCGGGAAGUCCGGGAACGCGUUGGAGAGAACGCAGAGUGCUGGUCUGAUGGGUGUGAGGCGGUGUCUCACUGUGGGUUUGAUUUGCACCUCCCCGGUGGUUAAUGAUGCUGGGCAUCUUUUCUGUGCCUAUUGGCCAUUUGUCGGUCUUUUUGGAGAAAUGUCUCUUCAGAUUCUUUGUGCAUUUUUUAAGUUUAUUUUUUGAGAGACAGCAGGAGCAGGAGAGGGGCAGAGAGAGAGGGGGACAGAGGAUCUGAAACAGGCUCCAGGCUCCACGCUGACAACAGAGAGCCCGACACGGGGCUUGAACCCAUGAACCGCGAGAUCAUGACCUGAGCCGAAGUCAGACGCUUAACCGACUGAGCCCCCCGGGUGCCCCAUUUUUGUGCACUUUUCAGCUGGGAUGUUGUUUCACUGUUGAUCUGUAAGGGCUCAUUCUUCAUUCUGGGUACAAGUCUCUUUUCAAACAUAUGAUUUGAAAAUACUUUCUCCCAUUCUGUGGGUUGCCUUUUCACUUCCUUGAUAGUAUCCUUUGAAGCACAAAUUUUUAAAAUUUUGAUGAAGCCGAUUAAUCUUUUUUUGUUGUUGCUUAUUCUUUUAGGUGUGGUGCUUAAUAGCUUUGCCUAACCCAGGGCCGUGAAGAUAUAUCCCCAGUUUCUUACAAGUUUUAUAGUUGCAAUGCUUACGUGGAGGUUAUUGAUACAUUUCAAGUUAACUUCUGUAUGUGGUGUGAGGUUCUUUUGGCUCUUCGGGGUCGCUGAAGUGUCACCUGAACUUGAGGGUUCAGCCAGCUGGGAUUCUGAUAGGGAUUGCCUUGAAUCUGAUCGAUUCGGGAAGUAUCAUUUGGAGCUCGUGUUCAGUCAUCAUGACUUGGCAUUUCCUCAGUCACCCUUGUUUCUCCCCAGACCCUUUCGUCUGGGUUUUGUGCACGGGGGACAAAAGCAUGUCCACAGAAAAACAUUUCCAGGGCUUGGGCAGGACAGAGUGCUCAAUUUCCACAGAAGUUCUAAACGUGCGUGGGUCUCUUCUUCUGCUGACCCAGGGAGCGGCCGCAUCUGACAGUCCCCCGCCCGACUGCGUGUGUGCAGCAGCAGGGGCAGCUGAGAUGGAGGCCAGUGCUCCCUCCCCCUCUGCACAGUGCACUUACCUGCAAAGUCCAAGGUCGAAAGGUGAGACAUGUGGAGGCCGUGCCCACCUGCUCUGGCAGAUGUGCAAGACUCUGGUGGGGAUGCACUCAGGCUGUGUCCGGAGCACACAGCCCGUCACACUUGAUCUCUGUUGGCCCCUCCAGAACACAGGCCUUCUCCUGUGGGUUUGUCCAGCCGCAGCCCUGACGUUUGUGCAGUUUAGCACCCCACGCGCCGGUGGCCUGAAUCUGCAUCGUCCCCGGGUCUGAGGCCCGCCUGGGGCCUUCUGUCAGCCCUGUUCUGCUGAGGCUGAAACUCCCACAGCCACUAGUGUCUGGUCUCUGCUUGGGGGCCAAUCCGGACAAGACCUUUGAAUAAGGAUCCCAAGCGGACGGGUAGCUUGCCUUCCGCAGCCGCACAGCAGAGACCCUGUGAGUCCAAGUGCAAGGCUUUCCCCGGCCCUCAUUAGCGUCUGUCCAGAGGUCAGAACCCGCCUGCUCACAGAGACACGCCUCAGGCCAGAGAGUCACCGCCAAGGGCUCAUCAGCUGCCCCACCAGCUUGUCAGACUCAAGUGUGUCUCCGUUUGCAGGGAGCACCUGUGUCCCCAGAGGCUCCAAUAGGGGAAACAAUGGUAAAAAGCCAUCAUUUGGGGAGACUUGAGUUUCCAGUACUCAGCUUAAAUUCUGACCCUCCCACUGGCUGUACGACACAAGGCUGUGGGGUUCCACUAAUGUUUUUUCUUGGCAAUUUUUCUUAGCGGGACGAUCCCUUUCGCAUUUAUGAAGUUACCAGCAUUUAACGUUUUGCAUCAAUAUUUUACUACACAGGUGGAUGCAGUAGCCACAAAAUAAAGUCAUUACAAAAGUUCCA